RNAcentral lists this ribosomal RNA (497 nucleotides) under uncultured bacterium. RNAcentral's name for it is "partial 16S ribosomal RNA". It matches the Rfam family "Bacterial small subunit ribosomal RNA", at positions 28 to 507 of the family's 1533-position model. The record is from RNAcentral.
GAUGAACGCUGGCGGCGUGCCUAAUACAUGCAAGUCGAGCGAACGGACGAGAAGCUUGCUUUUCUGAUGUUAGCGGCGGACGGGUGAGUAACACGUGGAUAACCUACCUAUAAGACUGGGAUAACUUCGGGAAACCGGAGCUAAUACCGGAUAAUAUUUUGAACCGCAUGGUUCAAAAGUGAAAGACGGUCUUGCUGUCACUUAUAGAUGGAUCCGCGCUGCAUCAGCUAGUUGGUAAGGUAACGGCUUACCAAGGCAACGAUGCAUAGCCGACCUGAGAGGGUGAUCGGCCACACUGGAACUGAGACACGGUCCAGACUCCUACGGGAGGCAGCAGUAGGGAAUCUUCCGCAAUGGGCGAAAGCCUGACGGAGCAACGCCGCGUGAGUGAUGAAGGUCUUCGGAUCGUAAAACUCUGUUAUUAGGGAAGAACAUAUGUGUAAGUAACUGUGCACAUCUUGACGGUACCUAAUCAGAAAGCCACGGCUAACUACGUG